UGGGGAAUCUUGGACAAUGGGGGAAACCCUGAUCCAGCGACGCCGCGUGGAUGAAGAAGGCCUUAGGGUUGUAAAGUCCUUUCACGGGGGAGGAUGAUGACGUUCCCCGGAGAAGAAGCACCGGCUAACUCCGUGCCAGCAGCCGCGGUAAGUCGGUGGGUGCUAGCGUUGUUCGGAAUCUCUGGGCGUAAAGGGCGCGUAGGCGGCUUGGUUAGUCAGAUGUGAAAGCCCAGGGCUCAACUCUGGAACUGCAUUUGAUACUCCCAAGCUUGAGGUCGAAAGAGGAGAGUGGAAUACCCAGUGUAGAGGUGAAAUUCGUAGAUAUUGGGUGGAACACCAGUGGCGAAAGCGGCUCUGUGGUUCGACUCUGACGCUGAGGCGCGAAAGCGUGGGGAGCAAACAGGAUUAGAUACCCCCGUAGUCC
Molecule: ribosomal RNA, 424 nt
Filed under: uncultured prokaryote
Description: bacterial SSU rRNA
Rfam family: Bacterial small subunit ribosomal RNA
Source: RNAcentral